GACGAACGCUGGCGGCGUGCUUAACACAUGCAAGUCGAACGGAAAGGCCCUGCUUUUGUGGGGUGCUCGAGUGGCGAACGGGUGAGUAACACGUGAGUAACCUGCCCUUGACUUUGGGAUAACGACAGGAAACUGGGGCUAAUACCGGAUAGGAGCUCCUGCUGCAUGGUGGGGGUUGGAAAGUUUCGGCGGUUGGGGAUGGACUCGCGGCUUAUCAGCUUGUUGGUGGGGUAGUGGCUUACCAAGGCUUUGACGGGUAGCCGGCCUGAGGGGGUGACCGGCCACAUUGGGACUGAGAUACGGCCCAGACUCCUACGGGAGGCAGCAGUGGGGAAUAUUGCACAAUGGGCGGAAGCCUGAUGCAGCAACGCCGCGUGCGGGAUGACGGCCUUCGGGUUGUAAACCGCUUUCGCCUGUGACGAAGCGUGAGUGACGGUAAUGGGUAAAGAAGCACCGGCUAACUACGUG
This 468-nucleotide ribosomal RNA is filed under the name uncultured bacterium. Its description in RNAcentral is "partial 16S ribosomal RNA". It matches the Rfam family "Bacterial small subunit ribosomal RNA", at positions 28 to 507 of the family's 1533-position model. The record is from RNAcentral.